CUGUAAGCUAGGUUGGUGUCCCAGGCUGACAGAGAGCCGCGUGAUUGGCACUGUCAGGCUGUCAGACCAGGGAUGGCCAAGCUCGUGGCGUGCUGCUCUCAGACUUUAAAAAGUUAGUUAUUGCAGUCAUGGGUGAAAAUGAACUGAGAGAAAAUCAUUUCAUCUGGAAGCUUGGACCAAGGGGGGGGGGAAUGAAGGAAUGACCUGAAAAUGUAGAUUAAUUGGUUCGUUUUGGUGCUACAUGAAGCUAUGAGAAACAAACGUCAAAGUUCAGAACAAAGUUUCAGAUGAGCUUGAGCAUUCCCUUUUGUUACUUUCAAAUCUCCUUAGCAGAAAGACUCAAAUUCUACGCAGAAUCAGAUACAGUAUGGCAUAACAAGCAACAAUGGCCCCUAAGCUUCCUACACAUUCUGUGCAAGCCUUCCAGUAUCUUAGUGUACUGUCUAUACGCUGAAGAACACGUUAGAACACUUUUUGAUGCUUACUUGAAACUAUUUUGCAUUAACAUGAUAUUUUAAGGAAGAAAUUUUUUUUCAUUUGGAAAUUAUGACAGUAAAAUCAAGAGCAUGGUACUGAAACACUUGUAUCACCUAGCACUUAAAUGUAUCAUCAUUGAUAGCUGAAGGAAAUCACAAUUUUUUGGAGAAGUUAGGACACAGAAUGCUCUUGAGGUGAUACGGUGCAUAAUUCUGAUUCGGGUAUUUACUCAUGAAACACACAGAGUACUAAAAUAUGAGAGGUGGCAUACUGAUUUUCCUGCUUUCAUUCUUCCCUUCUGUUUAGCACAUUGCUCCUGAUUUACAGUUCUUGGAGCAUCCCUAUUUCUUACUAAAAUCAACGACUUCUAAUGAGUUUUCCAGAACCAUCAUAACAUUACCCUGGGCCUUAUGUGCUUCCUGUGAAAUGUAAAGAACAGUGGUACUGAAGUCUCUGCAUGGCUUGACAUUUCACUCUUAGGGAUUCUUUUCCUUGACUCCUUAGGUCUUCAGCCUUCAAGAAUCCUAAAGUAGUAUGCAGCCAACAGUUUAAUGGCCCUGCACUAUAGGGCAGAAUCUAGCUGCCUGCAGGGCGAGUAAGAGGGAGUACAGGAACUGCCUAAAGAGCAGGCAUUGGAAGAGAUGGUGAAAUCCUACGACAGAGGCUGCCUUCAGUAUCCUACAGAGCCUUUAGGGGUCCCGCACUGUCCACUGGGGCUCAGCUUCAAUUCUGUCAUCUCCAUGUGCUGUAGCUGGUGCUUGUCCUUGCCUCUUAUGCAUUCCUGUUCUUUCUGUCCAGUACCUUCAGGACUUUGAAAAUCCAGCUUAGCCAGAAACUCACGACUCCAUCAUUGCACCACUUCUCAUCAUACCCCUCCCGCAGUUCUCUGAUACACCACAGAAUAUCUAUAGCAUUUAUUUCUUGAAUGGAAUGUACAGUGCAUAAUGGGACUAACCCUGAAGGGGAUGUUUGGCUUACCAGCCAGACUGUAUACCUAGGAGAUGAAAGAACAUUUCUCAGUGUUUUUCUUGUACCCCUAUUCUCACACUUUGUUUACAGAGUUGAUCCCGGCAAGGGAUAAUAAACCUUCUUGAGGUAAAUUUCCUAUCUAUUGAUAUUAUUAUGUUCUUCAGAAAAGGCACUCAGACUGAUAAAAUAUUUGCCUCAUGUUAUUUUCUCUAAGACCUUUUAUCUGUUAUUUAGCUUUGCUCUUAUUUAAGUACAUUUUUAGACAACAACAAAGAAUUCUUGAGAAAAGCAAUAAGGAACCAUAGUUUAUAUUUCAAUACAGAACACCCAGGGUCAAAUAAUGGAGGAAAUUCUAGCAACUAACAUUAUAAGAGAGUAUAGCAAUUAUCAAUCCUCUAACCGAACAAGUAAAUGUUUUCUUCUAGAUAGUCAUUUUUCAUGCAACUUUUGAGAAUGCAGAAAUAAGAGAGGGAAAUCUCCAUGAAACUGGGUGGUAAUGCCUUGACACAUAGAGGAUUUUACUUGUUUUGUCACCUUUGAAUUUUUUUAAAUGUUCAUGGUGUUUCAUUUACUCAAUAAUGAAUGUUCAUAUGAGAAGAGUCUAGAUGUUGACUUUUUUCUUCCCAAACAAGUACAGAUUUGAAGACCAACUGCAAGUCAACAUUUCGAAACUUCUACAUAAAGAAUACUGUUUACAUCAUUGAUUCUUACAUGCUAGAGGAAACAAUAAAUUUGUGUGAGAUGUGGAUAAUUCCAAACAGUGCAAUAAAGUAGAAACAAUAGGGGCUAUGUUAUUAGACUAAAGUUUGAAAUGUGUUUCCCUUUUUUCCUAGCUGUGUCUCAGACAAGACAGGUAAUAUCCCUAGCCAUCACAUUCCUCAUCUGUGAAAUAGCAGUCAUAAUAACUACUUUCCCAAGUUGAUGUCAGGAUCACACAAAAUAAAGUAAGUGCUCAGAAUACCUAUUAGAAUAACUAUUGUAAAAGGGAAAGCAUAAGUCAACUUAUUUAUAUUGCGGAUCAUUAUACUAGUUAUAGUAUCUAUCUUUAUGCUUAUGUAGUUGUAUUUUAAAAUUGGCACAAAUCAUGCUUGUACAGAAUGCAUACUCUGGUUAAAUUAGACAAUUUUAAGGGGAAACCGUGUGCCGAAUUAAAUUGUUUUAGUCAUUUUUAAUUUUUCUAAACCUUAACACAGGCCUCAACAUGGCAAAGCAAAAUUUACUAUUGGGUAGUCUAGGCAUUUUGAUUCCAGCUAAGGUAUUGUUUCUUUGAUAUAAUCUAUGUAAUCAAAAAUUUGAUUUUGUGCCUCAAAAUUUUAAUAAUUCAAACUCUGAUCAAAGAUUGAUAGAGUUGUAGGCAUAUAAGAAUUUCAUCCCUUAUUAAGACAGUAUUGAGCUUGGAGGCAUAAGUUAAGUAGAAUUUCAGAUAAAUGAACACAGCAGCAUUUAAUAUUUCAAUAGAAUUACCUGAAAUAAGAAACUCUACAUGAAAAAGCUUGGAAAAUUCUUCAUAUGAUAGCCUCUCUACUUCUUCCACCUCCAACCAGGUCACAAAUGAAUGUAAAAAAACUUGAGAAGUAUUCAAAAUUUAUUUUUUAAAAAACAUGGUAUAAUUUUGUUCAAUCCAAUAGUUCUAAAAUUUAUCUUAACAGAGAAUCUUUUGGGAUCCUUUAAUACGAGAAUAAACUCUUCAAAAUCUUUCAAAGAUUUAUUUACAAAUCAUAUCAGUGAACUAUAAGAAGUAAUUAGUCUGAUUUAGAUUAAGUCUUUGAUAUAUUUCUUGUAAGCCUUUGUGAGAUAUUCACAUAUCUCAGCUUCUUCAGUUUACCACAGAAUCCUAAAUUUCUCUCCUGCACUGUGAAAUCGUGUGGCUAGUUUGUUUUCUUUUCAGAGGCUCAAUUCUCUGGUGUUUCUGAGCAACAGGUAAGAAUGCUCAUCUAUUCUUCAUCAACACUGGAGGGAAACAAGAUUAUGUAACAGAAUAAACUUCAUUUGUUUGGUUUCAUGAAUUUGUGAAAUAACUCAAAGGAAGUUUUAAAUCCUCUUUACUGGACACAGUUACACAUGGGAAAGCCAAAAUGUUUGAAAUUCUUCUGUGAAUGUACUGAAUUACCCUUGAUGCUCAUUUGGACCAAUCCUUUCUCUUUUUUCUCAGUCUGCCCUAAAAUGCUGCUUUAAAAGAUCUCUGACAUUUUGGAUCAUAAAAGCUUUUAGAGACAUAUACAUUGUCAGGAAGCUGGACCAGAAACAGAGCAGCUGGGACUUACACUGGUGCUCAUACGGAAUGCCAGCAUCUCAGGAAAAGGAAAAAUAACAAAAAGCCAAAGUAUGGAAGCCCUUUCAAAUGUGAUAAUGCUUCAAGGUGCAUUUGUUUUCCAUUCUUUCACAAAGAUUAAAGUAAGAGAGCAACCAUUUAGCCUAGCAGUUAAGAUGCCUUCGUGACAUAUCAGAGUUCCUGAACUUGAUUCCCAGCUUUAGCGACUUAUGCCAGCUUCCUGUUAUUCUGUAACCCGUGGAGCAGCAAGUAGUUGUGUGUCUCCAAGAUCCUUGGGAGGCUUGGAUUGAGUACCCAGCUUCUGGCACUGGCCCUGGCCCAGCCCUUGCCAC
RNA transcript from Oryctolagus cuniculus (rabbit), 4050 nucleotides. RefSeq lists it as uncharacterized. Lineage: Eukaryota; Metazoa; Chordata; Mammalia; Lagomorpha; Leporidae. The record is from RefSeq and is a predicted model, not a curated record.